This 133-nucleotide ribosomal RNA is filed under the name Jaculus jaculus (lesser Egyptian jerboa). Lineage: Eukaryota; Metazoa; Chordata; Mammalia; Rodentia; Dipodidae. The record is from RNAcentral.
GUCCAUGGACAUACCACCCCGAACAUUCCCGAUCUUGUCUGAUCCUGGAAGCUAAGCAGGUUGGGCUUGGUUAGUACUUGGAGAGAGCCCAGGUCUCUUUAGCACUUGGAUGGGAGCCCAGGACCUGUAUACA